AAGAAGGACGGUGACCGCCUACAAUUUUGUUACCUUAAGUGUCGCAGGUGCGCUCCUCCUCCUCCUUUUCUGUAUAAAGUUACUUUUCACCUGUACUCCUUUACUCAGCUCGUGCGAGUCAGAUCUGUGGGGUUUCAAGAGCUACCUACAACCAGAUCGACGUGAGACUCGCUACUCUUUGGGGCUUCUUCCAGAUCUGCUCUGAUGUGCAAAGUUAGUACUCUGCUGACUCUGCUCUAAUUUAUGGAAACAGUAUUCAAGCUGUUUGGCUCUUAGAAAAGUCUUGUCCAAUACCAUCUGGGUGGUACUUCCUCUUAAUUAAUUUGCUCUGGAUGUUCUCAAAUCUAAGAGGGGUUCCUUCUUGGCAAUUAAAUGAGGUAUUCGGGCUCUUGGCUGCUUCUAG
Molecule: long non-coding RNA, 403 nt
Filed under: Salvia miltiorrhiza (redroot sage)
Lineage: Eukaryota; Viridiplantae; Streptophyta; Magnoliopsida; Lamiales; Lamiaceae
Description: long non-coding RNA (SMIL_LNC004093)
Source: RNAcentral